CUACGGAGGGGGUUAGCGUUGUUCGGAAUUACUGGGCGUAAAGCGUACGUAGGCGGACUGGAAAGUUGGGGGUGAAAUCCCGGGGCUCAACCCCGGAACUGCCUCCAAAACUUCCAAUCUAGAGAUCGAGAGAGGUGAGUGGAAUUCCAAGUGUAGAGGUGAAAUUCGUAGAUAUUUGGAGGAACACCAGUGGCGAAGGCGGCUCACUGGCUCGAUACUGACGCUGAGGUACGAAAGCGUGGGGAGCAAACAGAAUUAGAAACCCUAGUAGUCC
This 274-nucleotide ribosomal RNA is filed under the name uncultured bacterium. Its description in RNAcentral is "partial 16S ribosomal RNA". It matches the Rfam family "Bacterial small subunit ribosomal RNA", at positions 523 to 796 of the family's 1533-position model. The record is from RNAcentral.